CCCCGUGCGGUCAGUGGCGUUUCCGCUCGGGCAGCGGGCUGAGUGAGCUGCCGCCGCUGCUGCCGCCGCCGCCGCCGGGGGAGGGGCGGCCGCCGCCCGCCUGCGCUCAGAGACUCACGCAGCCCCAGUCCCGCCAGUCCGCCAACACAGUAGUGCCGGCCCCCUCCUUCCUUGGCCCUUCCCCCUCCCUGCCUUUGGCUCGCUCCGCCUUUCUGUCCCCCACCCCCACCUCACGGGUACGGGCCAUUCCCGGCCAGGAAACGCCGUGGCGCCGCGUUGGGCCUAACUCGAGUCUUGCUGCCUCCCGGGAGUGCCGUGCGCCGCAGCCCGGGCCCAGGCCCCGGCAGCGCCUGGGACAAGGAUUCCUCAUGUCCAUAACAUGUUGGCUGAGGCUCUGCAGCUCACCCCCACUCCCAGAGUGGUUAGUCUCCAUUAAUUGGACCCCGUGA
Castor canadensis (American beaver) is the source of this 449-nucleotide long non-coding RNA. The record is from Ensembl. NCBI's taxonomy places the organism in Eukaryota, Metazoa, Chordata, Mammalia, Rodentia, Castoridae.